CCUACGGGCGGCAGCAGUGGGGAAUAUUGCACAAUGGGCGCAAGCCUGAUGCAGCCAUGCCGCGUGUGUGAAGAAGGCCUUCGGGUUGUAAAGCACUUUCAGCGGGGAGGAAGGCGGUGAGGUUAAUAACCUCAUCGAUUGACGUUACCCGCAGAAGAAGCACCGGCUAACUCCGUGCCAGCAGCCGCGGUAAUACGGAGGGUGCAAGCGUUAAUCGGAAUUACUGGGCGUAAAGCGCACGCAGGCGGUCUGUCAAGUCGGAUGUGAAAUCCCCGGGCUCAACCUGGGAACGGCAUUCGAAACUGGCAGGCUAGAGUCUUGUAGAGGGGGGUAGAAUUCCAGGUGUAGCGGUGAAAUGCGUAGAGAUCUGGAGGAAUACCGGUGGCGAAGGCGGCCCCCUGGACAAAGACUGACGCUCAGGUGCGAAAGCGUGGGAGCAAACAGGAUUAGAUACCCCGGUAGUC
RNAcentral lists this ribosomal RNA (464 nucleotides) under uncultured Klebsiella sp. RNAcentral's name for it is "bacterial SSU rRNA". It matches the Rfam family "Bacterial small subunit ribosomal RNA", at positions 338 to 795 of the family's 1533-position model. The record is from RNAcentral. Lineage: Bacteria; Pseudomonadati; Pseudomonadota; Gammaproteobacteria; Enterobacterales; Enterobacteriaceae.